Molecule: ribosomal RNA, 498 nt
Filed under: Triticum aestivum (bread wheat)
Lineage: Eukaryota; Viridiplantae; Streptophyta; Magnoliopsida; Poales; Poaceae
Description: partial small subunit ribosomal RNA
Source: RNAcentral
AUGAACCCUGCCUCGGCCCCUGGUCCUGAUGGCCUCCCGGUUAAGUUCUUCCAAUCCUUCUGGAAUGUGAUCAAGCCGGAGGUCAUGGCAAUAUUCAACGAGUUCUACGUUAGGUCCAUCGAUCUCGGGCGCCUUAAUUAUGGGACGAUCUCGCUUAUCCCCAAGGUUCCUAGAGCGUCUGACAUCCGUCAGUUCCGCCCAAUCACGGUGAUAAAUGUGAUCUUACGGAUUCUGGCAAAAGGGUACGCCAAUAGGGUGACCCUGCUUGCAGACUAUAUUACCCACCCCAACCAAUCGACCUUCAUCCAAGGUCGCUAUAUUCUGGAUGGGGUGCUUGUUCUUCACGAAGUCCUCCACGAGGUCCGCUCCAAACACCUCAAGGCGGUUUUCAUGAAGAUCAAUUUCCAUAAGGCCUAUGACACUGUUAGUUGGCCCUUCCUUCAGGAAGUUCUUCUCCAGAAAGGUUUCGAUGACCGUUGGGUUACUAGGGUUAUGUAG